GACGAACGCUGGCGGCGUGCUUAACACAUGCAAGUCGAACGAUGAAACCGGAGCUUGCUCCGGUGGAUUAGUGGCGAACGGGUGAGUAACACGUGAGUAACCUGCCCUUGACUCUGGGAUAACUGCGGGAAACUGUAGCUAAUACCGGAUACGACCCUCGGAGGCAUCUCCAGGGGGUGGAAAGAAUUUCGGUCAAGGAUGGACUCGCGGCCUAUCAGCUAGUUGGUGAGGUAACGGCUCACCAAGGCGACGACGGGUAGCCGGCCUGAGAGGGUGACCGGCCACACUGGGACUGAGACACGGCCCAGACUCCUACGGGAGGCAGCAGUGGGGAAGAUUGCACAAUGGGCGCAAGCCUGAUGCAGCAACGCCGCGUGAGGGAUGACGGCCUUCGGGUUGUAAACCUCUUUUAGUAGGGAAGAAGCGAAAGUGACGGUACCUGCAGAAAAAGCACCGGCUAACUACGUGCCAGCAGCCGCUGUAA
This 484-nucleotide ribosomal RNA is filed under the name uncultured bacterium. RNAcentral describes it as "partial 16S ribosomal RNA". It matches the Rfam family "Bacterial small subunit ribosomal RNA", at positions 28 to 523 of the family's 1533-position model. The record is from RNAcentral.